Molecule: transfer RNA, 74 nt
Filed under: Prevotella sp.
Lineage: Bacteria; Pseudomonadati; Bacteroidota; Bacteroidia; Bacteroidales; Prevotellaceae
Description: tRNA-Arg
Rfam family: tRNA
About the family: Transfer RNA (tRNA) molecules are approximately 80 nucleotides in length. Their secondary structure includes four short double-helical elements and three loops (D, anti-codon, and T loops). Further hydrogen bonds mediate the characteristic L-shaped molecular structure. tRNAs have two regions of fundamental functional importance: the anti-codon, which is responsible for specific mRNA codon recognition, and the 3' end, to which the tRNAs corresponding amino acid is attached (by aminoacyl-tRNA synthetases). tRNAs cope with the degeneracy of the genetic code in two manners: having more than one tRNA (with a specific anti-codon) for a particular amino acid; and 'wobble' base-pairing, i.e. permitting non-standard base-pairing at the 3rd anti-codon position.
Source: RNAcentral
GGUCCGGUAGCUCAGCUGGAUAGAGCAACAGCCUUCUAAGCUGUGGGUCUUGGGUUCGAGUCCCAACCGGAUCA